CACGUAGGGGGCAAGCGUUGUCCGGAAUCAUUGGGCGUAAAGAGCGUGUAGGCGGCCCGAUAAGUCCGCUGUGAAAGUCCAGGGCUCAACCCUGGGAUGCCGGUGGAUACUGUCGGGCUCGAGUCCGGAAGAGGAGUGUGGAAUUCCUGGUGUAGCGGUGAAAUGCGCAGAUAUCAGGAGGAACACCAAUGGCGAAGGCAGCACUCUGGGACGUGACUGACGCUGGGACGCGAAAGCGUGGGGAGCAAACAGG
This 253-nucleotide ribosomal RNA is filed under the name uncultured bacterium. RNAcentral describes it as "partial 16S ribosomal RNA". It matches the Rfam family "Bacterial small subunit ribosomal RNA", at positions 524 to 776 of the family's 1533-position model. The record is from RNAcentral.